UGGAGAAUCAUCAUUUCUUCUACAUGAUAGAAUAUUGCGAGACGAGAUACAAGUUCAUCAUAGCAGCUAAAAUUUUCCAUUUUACAUUAGCUCAAACCAAUCUCACAUCCCUAUCUCUCGUACCAGCCAUACCGUUCGUUUCAAACUACAAAAUCUCUCCCCUAAUACAACAUACCCAAUAGUUCAACGAAAAAAACAAUACAAACCUCACAGGAUAACCAACAAUACAACAACAAGAAUCAACAAGAUUGAGCACGUUAGGGUAUUACAAGUUUCUUCCCAGCAUAGAUGGUGUCCCCUUCAAGCCCGUUAGCGUCCUUAAUUUCCUCGAUUGACACCCCAUAUUUUCUAGAGAGUCCCCAAAGAGUGUCUCCCCGCUCAAUCUCUAUCACAUUUGGUGAAACUUCCUUCUUCUCUCUUUUCUCCACGCAACAAUUUGGUUUCUUGACUAUGAGCUCAGGCUCUGGUUGGCAUUGUUGAAGCACUUGAGGCUGAGUUUGAGAUGGAGCUGACUCGAAAACUAUUGCCUUUACUUCACUGGUUUUACUGUUGAUGUUUUGAUGGUUGAAUGGAUUGAGUGCUUUGAGAAUGCUCAUCGCGAUUCCCGAAACGACCACGAAACCAGCUGCCUUUGCUAUAGUUUUCUCCUGAUCGGAGUUGUCUUCCUCAUUACCGGAGCCAUUUUCCGGCGGACGUCGAUUAUUCCACAUCGCUCGAUCGAUCUGGUUCGAUUUUUUGGAAGAAGAAAA
Molecule: unclassified non-coding RNA, 749 nt
Filed under: Hevea brasiliensis (rubber tree)
Lineage: Eukaryota; Viridiplantae; Streptophyta; Magnoliopsida; Malpighiales; Euphorbiaceae
Source: RNAcentral